RNAcentral lists this ribosomal RNA (472 nucleotides) under uncultured organism. RNAcentral describes it as "partial 16S ribosomal RNA". It matches the Rfam family "Bacterial small subunit ribosomal RNA", at positions 333 to 797 of the family's 1533-position model. The record is from RNAcentral.
ACACUCCUACGGGAGGCAGCAGUGGGGAAUUUUGGACAAUGGGCGAAAGCCUGAUCCAGCAAUGCCGCGUGCAGGAUGAAGGCCUUCGGGUUGUAAACUGCUUUUGUACGGAACGAAAAAGCUCCUUCUAAUACAGGGGGCCCAUGACGGUACCGUAAGAAUAAGCACCGGCUAACUACGUGCCAGCAGCCGCGGUAAUACGUAGGGUGCGAGCGUUAAUCGGAAUUACUGGGCGUAAAGCGUGCGCAGGCGGUUAUGUAAGACAGAUGUGAAAUCCCCGGGCUCAACCUGGGAACUGCAUUUGUGACUGCAUGGCUAGAGUACGGUAGAGGGGGAUGGAAUUCCGCGUGUAGCAGUGAAAUGCGUAGAUAUGCGGAGGAACACCGAUGGCGAAGGCAAUCCCCUGGACCUGUACUGACGCUCAUGCACGAAAGCGUGGGGAGCAAACAGGAUUAGAUACCCCUGUAGUCCC